Molecule: ribosomal RNA, 916 nt
Filed under: uncultured bacterium
Lineage: Bacteria
Description: bacterial SSU rRNA
Rfam family: Bacterial small subunit ribosomal RNA
Source: RNAcentral
UUGUUGGUAAGGUAAAAGCUUACCAAGGCUUCGAUCAGUAGCUGGUCUGAGAGGACGGCCAGCCACACUGGGACUGAGACACGGCCCAGACUCCUACGGGAGGCAGCAGUGGGGAAUUUUGGACAAUGGGGGCAACCCUGAUCCAGCCAUGCCGCGUGAGUGAAGAAGGCCUUCGGGUUGUAAAGCUCUUUCAGCCGGAACGAAACGGUUACGGUUAAUACCCGUGACUACUGACGGUACCGGAAGAAGAAGCACCGGCUAACUACGUGCCAGCAGCCGCGGCAAUACGUAGGGUGCGAGCGUUAAUCGGAAUUACUGGGCGUAAAGCGUGCGCAGGUGGUUUUGUAAGUCAGGUGUGAAAGCCCCGGGCUCAACCUGGGAACUGCGUUUGAAACUACAAGACUAGAGUGUGGCAGAGGGGGGUGGAAUUCCGCGUGUAGCAGUGAAAUGCGUAGAGAUGUGGAGGAACACCGAUGGCGAAGGCAGCCCCCUGGGUCAACACUGACGCUCAGGCACGAAAGCAUGGGGAGCAAACAGGAUUAGAUACCCUGGUAGUCCAUGCCCUAAACGAUGUCAACUAGUUGUCGGGCCUUUACGGGCUUGGUAACGUAGCUAACGCGUGAAGUUGACCGCCUGGGGAGUACGAUCGCAAGAUUAAAACUCAAAUGAAUUGACGGGGACCCGCGCAAGCGGUGGAUUAUGUGGAUUAAUUCGAUGCAACGCGAAAAACCUUACCUACCCUUGACAUGUAUCGAAGCCCGCAGAAAAGCGGGGGUGCCCGAAAGGGAACGAUAACACAGGUGCUGCAUGGCUGUCGUCAGCUCGUGUCGUGAGAUGUUGGGUUAAGUCCCGCAACGAGCGCAACCCUUGUCAUUAAUUGCCAUCAUUUAGUUGGGCACUUUAAUGAGACUGCCGG